RNAcentral lists this long non-coding RNA (598 nucleotides) under Oncorhynchus kisutch (coho salmon). RNAcentral's name for it is "lncRNA (ENSOKIG00005037257.1)". Lineage: Eukaryota; Metazoa; Chordata; Actinopteri; Salmoniformes; Salmonidae. The record is from RNAcentral.
CCACCCUUCCUCUCCCCAUCCCUUCUUCCACUCUCUCCCUCCACUACUCUGCUGCAAUCCCUCCCUCCUCUUAAACAUCACAAAAUCCCCUCCUAUCCCAAUCCAGCCCUCUCUCCCUCCCUCUCCAUUUAUCUUUCCCUCCCUCUCUCUCUCCCCUUCAUCUCACCUCUAGCCACUCAGCGCUCUCUCUCCCUCUUCAGCAGCACUGCCCGCUCUCUUUCUCUUUCUACCUUUCUUUAUUUCUCUGUCUGUCUCUCUUUUUUUUCUCUCCUCCUUUCUUUGGCUCACAGAAGGUUCCCAGGCUCCUGGUCCGUCCGUCUGUCCCUCUGCCCGUCCGACGAUCCCACUGAAGCUCUAGCACCAACCGGGACACAGACUCUCACAAAGGCGACGUGGACCCACCCUACAUCUUAACACAACAGUGAUCCUCAUCCUACAUCGAUUCAGGGACUACUGACGCGAGGGGAACCAACAGGGUCAUGAACCCUCCUCAUUAUACAGCCUAUAAUGUAAACAGAAAUGUGUCUUCUCUAUGCCUCCAUCUCUCUGUGUAGGCAGAGAGAUAGCAGAAGAAAACACAAUGGACAGGCACAGAGAG